AUCAUUAACUAAUGUAUUGGCACUUUACUGGGAUUUACUUCUCAGUAUUGUUUGCUUCUAUACUGUGAACCUCUGGCGAUGAAGGUCGUAACUGACCUUCGGGAGAGACUCAGGACAUAUAGGCUAUAAUGGGUAGGCCUGUUCUGGGGUUUGAUCGAUGCCAAUCAGGAUUACCUUUCUUCCUUUGGGAAGGAAGGUGCCUGGUACCCUUUACCAUAUACCAUGAAUUCAGAAUUGAAAGUAUAAUAUAAUAACAACUUUUAACAAUGGAUCUCUUGGUUCUCGCAUCGAUGAAGAACGUAGCAAAGUGCGAUAACUAGUGUGAAUUGCAUAUUCGUGAAUCAUCGAGUCUUUGAACGCAGCUUGCACUCUAUGGAUCUUCUAUAGAGUACGCUUGCUUCAGUAUCAUAACCAACCCACACAUAAAAUUUAUUUUAUGUGGUGAUGGACAAGCUCGGUUAAAUUUAAUUAUUAUACCGAUUGUCUAAAAUACAGCCUCUUUGUAAUUUUCAUUAAAUUACGAACUACCUAGCCAUCGUGCUUUUUUGGUCCAACCAAAAAACAUAUAAUCUAGGGGUUCUGCUAGCCAGCAGAUAUUUUAAUGAUCUUUAACUAUGAUCUGAAGUCAAGUGGGACUACCCGCUGAACUUAAGCAUAUCAAUAAGCGGAGGAAAAGAAAAUAACAAUGAUUUCCUUAGUAACGGCGAGUGAACAGGAA
This 718-nucleotide ribosomal RNA is filed under the name Rhizopus microsporus var. rhizopodiformis. RNAcentral's name for it is "eukaryotic LSU rRNA". The stretch from base 256 to 408 matches the Rfam family "5.8S ribosomal RNA". The record is from RNAcentral. Lineage: Eukaryota; Fungi; Mucoromycota; Mucoromycetes; Mucorales; Rhizopodaceae.